Molecule: unclassified non-coding RNA, 235 nt
Filed under: plant metagenome
Description: partial contains small subunit ribosomal RNA and internal transcribed spacer 1
Source: RNAcentral
AAGUCGUAACAAGGUUUCCGUAGGGUAUGUUCUCCCUAUCCCUCCUUGUUGACCACUGCUAACAUUCACAGUGAACCUGCGGAAGGAUCAUUAGAAAGCACCUGGUAGGAAUCGCCGGGGGUCUCUCCCGGUCUCCGUCCAGGGGCCAUUCUACUCAUUGUCUUUAUAUCCAUGCUUUGGCAUCUGCCACUAGCUCCCCCAUUCUUGUUGUCGGUCCCAAUCUUUAACCAAUAAA